CUCAAAUAAGUAAUAAUUUCUUGUCCUUUUUCACUACCCACUAAAGACCAAUCUUUUAGCUUUCUUUAACUUACUGGUAUAUCUGUUGCAUUUAGGUAGGGCUCGGGUUUUGGGUCUUGCUGCUAGCCAAUCCAGGACGAGAUGGUCCACCGGAGCCAGGGGCUAGAUUUGCUCAAGGCAGAACUUAUUGGCUAGCACGUAGGUAGAUUUCAAGCUCUUGAUCUUGUAA
Pelobates cultripes (western spadefoot toad) is the source of this 229-nucleotide non-coding RNA. The record is from the annotation of a GenBank genome assembly. NCBI's taxonomy places the organism in Eukaryota, Metazoa, Chordata, Amphibia, Anura, Pelobatidae.